RNAcentral lists this ribosomal RNA (497 nucleotides) under uncultured bacterium. Its description in RNAcentral is "partial 16S ribosomal RNA". It matches the Rfam family "Bacterial small subunit ribosomal RNA", at positions 28 to 507 of the family's 1533-position model. The record is from RNAcentral.
GACGAACGCUGGCGGCGUGCCUAAUACAUGCAAGUCGAACGCUGAAGAGAGGAGCUUGCUCUUCUUGGAUGAGUUGCGAACGGGUGAGUAACGCGUAGGUAACCUGCCUUGUAGCGGGGGAUAACUAUGGGAAACGAUAGCUAAUACCGCAUAACAAUGGAUUACACAUGUCAUUUAUUUGAAAGGGGCAGUUGCUCCACUACAAGAUGGACCUGCGGUGUUUUAGCUAGUAGGUGGGGUACUGGCGCACCUAGGCGACGUUACAUAGCCGAACUGAGAGGGUGGUCGGCCAGACUGGGACGGAGACACGGCACAGACUGCUACGGGAGGCAGCAGUAGGGAAACUUCGGCAAGGGGGGCAACCCUGACCGAGCAACGCCGCGGGAGUGAAGAAGGUUGUCGGAUCGGAAAGCUCUGUUGUAAGUCAAGAACGGGUGUGAGAGUGGAAAGUUCACACUGUGACGGUAGCUGACCAGAAAGGGACGGCUAACUACGUG